Molecule: ribosomal RNA, 252 nt
Filed under: uncultured bacterium
Lineage: Bacteria
Description: partial 16S ribosomal RNA
Rfam family: Bacterial small subunit ribosomal RNA
Source: RNAcentral
UACGGAGGAUGCGAGCGUUAUCCGGAUUUAUUGGGUUUAAAGGGUGCGCAGGCGGAGGCACAAGUCAGCGGUAAAAUCGCGGGGCUCAACCCCGCUCCGCCGUUGAAACUGUGUCCCUUGAGUGCGCGAAGGGCAGGCGGAAUGCGUGGUGUAGCGGUGAAAUGCAUAGAUAUCACGCAGAACUCCGAUCGCGAAGGCAGCCUACCGGCGCGCGACUGACGCUCAUGCACGAAAGCGUGGGUAUCGAACAGG